RNAcentral lists this transfer RNA (76 nucleotides) under Candidatus Omnitrophota bacterium. RNAcentral's name for it is "tRNA-Arg". It matches the Rfam family "tRNA". From Rfam's summary of the family: Transfer RNA (tRNA) molecules are approximately 80 nucleotides in length. Their secondary structure includes four short double-helical elements and three loops (D, anti-codon, and T loops). Lineage: Bacteria; Pseudomonadati; Candidatus Omnitrophota. The record is from RNAcentral.
GUCCCCGUAGCUCAAUUGGAUAGAGUACUGGCCUCCGAAGCCAGCCGAGGCGGUUCGAAUCCGCCCGGGGACGCCA